CUUGAACUCAAGAUCCUCAGCUCUCUCAGCCUCCCAAGAAGCUGGGAUUACAGGUGCCACCACCCUGGGUGGCUUCCCCGUCUCUUGAUGGGCCCUGUGCAAUGACCGUGGGGACUGGGUACCUAUUCUGUUCUCAGCCUUUGGGCUUCAACGGAGAACCUGACACACCAAGUGCCUUUCCGGAUCCUGUUCCUCCUCUGUGCUCCCUCGGACCCCGAGAGCUUUCCAUUUGGUUACCCAGAGCUAAGCUGGACACGUAGGUCAGUGCUCAUGAUCUGCCCUAAGGGCCACUUCUCCUUCCUUUUCUGUCUUGGUCUGAGGCACUUGGGGCAGAAACCAAGGAUCUCCCUGGACCACCCUACUCCCCCUCCCUGCUCCUGCUCCAUCCAGCCCCUCCCCAAGCCCUAGUGGCCUCUCCUGCCUGUUCCUGGAGCCUGCCUUCCCUCCCGCGCUGCCCUCUACUCUCCCUCAGCCCCUCUCUGCCUGCUGUGGUUCAGAUGUGGAAUGUCCCCACCCCACAUGCUAAAUGCCUGGUCCCCGCGUGGCACUCUUGGGAGGUGGUGGAACUUGUAAGAGCCUAGUGGGAAGUCCUUAGGUCCUUGGGGACCUUCUCUUGGAGUACUUCUCAUGCAGUUCCUUGAACCUCAUGAGAUGGUUGGAAUAAAGCAGCCAGCCUGCCUUGCCCCUCUGCCCUGCCUGUUCUCUCCCUCUCUGCUCCUGUUGGAGAUGUGACUGCUCCUACAUGUG
Molecule: long non-coding RNA, 747 nt
Filed under: Marmota monax (woodchuck)
Lineage: Eukaryota; Metazoa; Chordata; Mammalia; Rodentia; Sciuridae
Source: RNAcentral